Ornithorhynchus anatinus (platypus) is the source of this 137-nucleotide small nucleolar RNA. The record is from RefSeq and is a predicted model, not a curated record. NCBI's taxonomy places the organism in Eukaryota, Metazoa, Chordata, Mammalia, Monotremata, Ornithorhynchidae.
ACCCUCUCAGCGUGGCACCUGGAGAGUUUCCAGUCCUCUACCAGUCUCAGCUACGGGAGGGAGAGUCAAGCAGAGCCUACCCAUUCUAUUCCUACCUCGGGCAGUGGCUAGCAAAUGGAAGGCACUCUGCUACAUGU